UGUAAGAAAUAGUUCUGUUUAUUGAUUAGAAGAUGGUAUAAAAUUACAGCAAUUUGCAGGCAUCCUGGGCUUUCUGGGAGGGUCAUGCAGUGCUGGACUCAGGCAGGAGAUGGAGUGAGGCAUGGGUCACUGGCACUGGCCCCCUUCCUGCGCCACUAGCGCAGAUGCUAGCACGAGAGGGCACUACUGUCCUUGCCUCUGGAAAUGGAGCACAUGGGCAGUUUGGGUCAUCAGACAAUGCCAUGCUUAGUUCAGUCCUAUCCUACAUAUGUUAGAUGCUGGCGCUCCCAAUCUAGUCAGGGUAGAUUCUGACUGUGCUGUACAACACUCAUUCUUCCCACCAAAGACAGGGAAAGAGGCACAUUGGUUCGGGAGGCCAGAGGAUGGUGCGUGUUUGGCUCAGGUCAUCUUGCUUCCAGAUACAUCAAGGUCUGCUGGACUUGGAGGCAGUGGCCUGGGACACGCAAGCAGAAAAGUGUGCACUACUGUUUAAGCUCAAGCAGAGGGACCUUCCACAGGGCAGCAGUGUGAAGAGAUGAGCAUGCUUCCAAAAGAAACCCGACUUCAUCUUGUCUCUCUCGAGAAGAGGGAGGAGGAAGAGCUGGCAAUCAGAGACUGAGCCACAUGGUCCUGGGUUCCAUAGUAUGUCUUCACAGAGAAUUCUUCCAAAGUGUAAAAGGUGUUUCUGUCCCAAGAGUUAGUGUGUAAAAUCAGCAGGAGGGCCGAUCAAGGUGCUCAGUUGGCUGUUUAGUAUGUCUC
RNAcentral lists this long non-coding RNA (759 nucleotides) under Bos taurus (domestic cattle). RNAcentral's name for it is "long non-coding RNA NONBTAT012083". Lineage: Eukaryota; Metazoa; Chordata; Mammalia; Artiodactyla; Bovidae. The record is from RNAcentral.